UUACCUGUGUGACUGCGUACCUUUUGUAUAAUGGGUCAGCGACUUAUAUUCUGUAGCAAGGUUAACCGUAUAGGGGAGCCGUAGGGAAACCGAGUCUUAACCGGGCGUUAAGUUGCAGGGUAUAGACCCGAAACCCGGUGAUCUAGCCAUGGGCAGGUUGAAGGUUGGGUAACACUAACUGGAGGACCGAACCGACUAAUGUUGAAAAAUUAGCGGAUGACCUGUGGCUGGGGGUGAAAGGCCAAUCAAACCGGGAGAUAGCUGGUUCUCCCCGAAAGCUAUUUAGGUAGCGCCUCGUGAAUUCAUCUCCGGGGGUAGAGCACUGUUUCGGCUAGGGGGCCAUCCCGGCUUACCAACCCGAUGCAAACUGCGAAUACCGGAGAAUGUUAUCACGGGAGACACACGGCGGGUGCUAACGUCCGUCGUGAAGAGGGAAACAACCCAGACCGCCAGCUAAGGUCCCAAAGUCAUGGUUAAGUGGGAAACGAUGUGGGAAGGCCCAGACAGCCAGGAUGUUGGCUUAGAAGCAGCCAUCAUUUAAAGAAAGCGUAAUAGCUCACUGGUCGAGUCGGCCUGCGCGGAAGAUGUAACGGGGCUAAACCAUGCACCGAAGCUGCGGCAGCGAACGUAUCACCCAAGACAACUUUACGGAGUUGACGAUUGACGGAGCGAAGCGACGUCAAAGCGUUCAUUAAAGUCGAGUUGGCUUAGGGAUACGUUCGUUGGGUAGGGGAGCGUUCUGUAAGCCUGUGAAGGUGUGUCGUGAGGCAUGCUGGAGGUAUCAGAAGUGCGAAUGCUGACAUAAGUAACGAUAAAGCGGGUGAAAAGCCCGCUCGCCGGAAGACCAAGGGUUCCUGUCCAACGUUAAUCGGGGCAGGGUGAGUCGACCCCUAAGGCGAGGCCGAAAGGCGUAGUCGAUGGGAAACGGGUUAAUAUUCCCGUACUUGGUGUUACUGCGAAGGGGGGACGGAGAAGGCUAUGUUGGCCGGGCGACGGUUGUCCCGGUUUAAGCGUGUAGGUGUGUGUUCCAGGUAAAUCCGGUUCACUUUAACACUGAGGCGUGACGACGAGGCACUACGGUGCUGAAGCAACAAAUGCCCUGCU
RNAcentral lists this ribosomal RNA (1104 nucleotides) under Salmonella enterica subsp. enterica serovar Typhimurium. Its description in RNAcentral is "partial 23S ribosomal RNA". It matches the Rfam family "Bacterial large subunit ribosomal RNA", at positions 585 to 1606 of the family's 2925-position model. Lineage: Bacteria; Pseudomonadati; Pseudomonadota; Gammaproteobacteria; Enterobacterales; Enterobacteriaceae. The record is from RNAcentral.